This 63-nucleotide transfer RNA is filed under the name Ventosimonas gracilis. RNAcentral describes it as "tRNA-Ile". It matches the Rfam family "tRNA", at positions 6 to 65 of the family's 71-position model. Rfam says of the family: Transfer RNA (tRNA) molecules are approximately 80 nucleotides in length. Their secondary structure includes four short double-helical elements and three loops (D, anti-codon, and T loops). The record is from RNAcentral. Lineage: Bacteria; Pseudomonadati; Pseudomonadota; Gammaproteobacteria; Pseudomonadales; Ventosimonadaceae.
UGUAGCUCAGCUGGUUAGAGCGCACCCCUGAUAAGGGUGAGGUCGGCAGUUCGAGUCUGCCCA